AUGCCAACCUUCGCGCUCACGGCGCUGCGAAUACCAAAGAAGUUCAUAAAGGAGAUCGACAAGUCAAGACGGCGCUUCCUCUGGGCGGGAGACGAAGAAAUCUCGGGCGGCAAAUGCAAGGUUCGCUGGGCCUCAGUGACCAAGCUGGAGCGACUGGGCGGACUGGGCAUCCCUGACCUCAGCCGUUUCGCCCGGGCUCUACGGAUGCGCUGGCUAUGGCUCUCCUGGAGGCAGCCAACCAGGCCCUGGGUUGGCACCGGGACGCCAUGCGACGCUGCUAAUCGGGCUCUUUUCGCGGCCUCCACGGUGGUGACCAUCGGGAACGGCGCUACCGCGUCUUUCUGGUCUUGCUCCUGGCUGGGAGGGAGGCAACUCUGCUCGGCAUACCCCGACUUGUUCGCCUGA
This 405-nucleotide ribosomal RNA is filed under the name Triticum aestivum (bread wheat). Its description in RNAcentral is "partial small subunit ribosomal RNA". Lineage: Eukaryota; Viridiplantae; Streptophyta; Magnoliopsida; Poales; Poaceae. The record is from RNAcentral.